GACGAACGCUGGCGGCGUGCUUAACACAUGCAAGUCGAACGGGCCUUGUCCCCUUUUUUUUGGGGGUGGGGUUAGUGGCGAACGGGUGAGUAACACGUGAGUAACCUGCCCCUCACUUCUGGAUAACCGCUUGAAAGGGUGGCUAAUACGGGGUGUUCUGGCCUGCUCGCAUGGGUGGGUUUGGAAAGAUUCGACCGGUUUUGGUUGUUUUGGUGGGGGAUGGGCUCGCGGCCUAUCAGCUUGUUGGUGGGGUGAUGGCCUGCCAAGGCUUUGACGGGUAGCCGGCCUGAGAGGGUGGGCGGUCACACUGGGACUGAGACACGGCCCAGACUCCUACGGGAGGCAGCAGUGGGGAAUAUUGCACAAUGGGCGCAAGCCUGAUGCAGCGACGCCGCGUGAGGGAUGGAGGCCUUCGGGUUGUGAACCUCUUUCGCCAGUGAAGAAGGUCCUGCUCUGUGUGGUGGGGUUGACGGUAGCUGGGUUAAUGAAGCGCCGGCUAACUACG
This 505-nucleotide ribosomal RNA is filed under the name uncultured bacterium. RNAcentral describes it as "partial 16S ribosomal RNA". It matches the Rfam family "Bacterial small subunit ribosomal RNA", at positions 28 to 505 of the family's 1533-position model. The record is from RNAcentral.